UUCUACGGGGGGCAGCAGUGAGGAAUAUUGGUCAAUGGGCGGGAGCCUGAACCAGCCAAGUCGCGUGCGGGAUGGAGGCCUUCGGGUUGUAAACCGCUUUUGUUCAAGGGCAAGGCACGGUCUUUGGCCGUGUUGAGUGGAUUGUUCGAAUAAGCACCGGCUAACUACGUGCCAGCAGCCGCGGUAAUACGUAGGGUGCAAGCGUUAUCCGGAUUUAUUGGGCGUAAAGGGCUCGUAGGCGGUUCGUCGCGUCCGGUGUGAAAGUCCAUCGCUUAACGGUGGAUCCGCGCCGGGUACGGGCGGGC
This 305-nucleotide ribosomal RNA is filed under the name uncultured bacterium. RNAcentral's name for it is "bacterial SSU rRNA". It matches the Rfam family "Bacterial small subunit ribosomal RNA", at positions 337 to 641 of the family's 1533-position model. The record is from RNAcentral.